GUUCUUAUGGAUCUCGUAAUUGGAAUGAGUACAAUUUAAAUCUCUUAACGAGGAACAAUUGGAGGGCAAGUCUGGUGCCAGCAGCCGCGGUAAUUCCAGCUCCAAUAGCGUAUAUUAUUAUUGUUGCGGUUAAAAAGCUCGUAGUUGGAUCUCGGUUUCGGGCGAGCGGUGUACCUUGCGGUAUUUACUGUUUGCCCGGACGAUUUUGUUGGUUCGUUUAUGGUUCUCUUAACCGAGUGCCAUAAGUGGCCAGCACGUUUACUUUGAAAAAAUUGGAGUGCUCAAAGCAGGCGCUACAGCCUGAACAUUAGUGCAUGGAAUAAUGGAAUAGGAUCUCGGUUCUAUUUCGUUGGCUUUCGGAGUCGAGGUAAUGAUUAAUAGGGACAGACGGGGGCAUUCGUACUGCGACGUUAGAGGUGAAAUUCUUGGAUCGUCGCAAGACGAACUACUGCGAAAGCAUUUGCCAAGAAUGUUUUCAUUAAUCAAGAACGAAAGUUAGAGGUUCGAAGGCGAUCAGAUACCGCCCUAGUUCUAACCAUAAACGAUGUCGACCGGCGAUCCGUUAUCGUUAACUGAAUGACUUAACGGGCAGCCUCCGGGAAACCAGAGUGUUUGGAUUCCGGGGGAAGUAUGGUUGCAAAGCUGAAACUUAAAAGAAUUGACGGAAGGGCACCACCAGGAGUGGAGCCUGCGGCUUAAUUUGACCCAACACGGGAAAUCUCACCAGGCCCGGACACCGGAAGGAUUGACAGAUUGAGAGCUCUUUCUUGAUUCGGUGGGUGGUGGUGCAUGGCCGUUCUUAGUUGGUGGAGCGAUUUGUCUGGUUAAUUCCGAUAACGAACGAGACUCUGGCCUACUAACUAGACGUUAGAUCCCUUUGUGGGUCUAUCGCAGCUUCUUAGAGGGACGGGCGGCGUUUAGCCGCACGAGAUUGAGCAAUAACAGGUCUGUGAUGCCCUUAGAUGUUCUGGGCUGCACGCGCGCUACACUGAAGGAAUCAGCGUGUGUUCCCUACCCGAAAGGGUUGGGAAACCCGUUGAACCUCCUUCGUGAUGGGGAUUGGGGAUUGCAAUUAUUCCCCAUGAACGAGGAAUUCCCAGUAGGCGCGAGUCAUAAGCUUGCGUCGAUUACGUCCCUGCCCUUUGUACACACCGCCCGUCGCUACUACCGAUCGAGUGAUUUAGUGAGGCCUUCGGACUGGUCUUCAGUAUGGCUUUCGGGUCGUGUUGGAGUACCGGAAAGAUGACCAAACUUGAUCACUUAGAGGAAGUAAAAGUC
RNAcentral lists this ribosomal RNA (1278 nucleotides) under metagenome. RNAcentral's name for it is "SSU rRNA". It matches the Rfam family "Eukaryotic small subunit ribosomal RNA", at positions 490 to 1790 of the family's 1831-position model. The record is from RNAcentral.